GAUGAACGCUGGCGGCGUGCCUAAUACAUGCAAGUCGAGCGAACGGACGAGAAGCUUGCUUUUCUGAUGUUAGCGGCGGACGGGUGAGUAACACGUGGAUAACCUACCUAUAAGACUGGGAUAACUUCGGGAAACCGGAGCUAAUACCGGAUAAUAUUUUGAACCGCAUGGUUCAAAAGUGAAAGACGGUCUUGCUGUCACUUAUAGAUGGAUCCGCGCUGCAUUAGCUAGUUGGUAAGGUAACGGCUUACCAAGGCAACGAUGCAUAGCCGACCUGAGAGGGUGAUCGGCCACACUGGAACUGAGACACGGUCCAGACUCCUACGGGAGGCAGCAGUAGGGAAUCGUCCGCAAUGGGCGAAAGCCUGACGGAGCAACGCCGCGUGAGUGAUGAAGGUCUUCGGAUCGUAAAACUCUGUUAUUAGGGAAGAACAGAUGUGUAAGUAACUGUGCACAUCUUGACGGUACCUAAUCAGAAAGCCACGGCUAACUACGUG
This 497-nucleotide ribosomal RNA is filed under the name uncultured bacterium. RNAcentral describes it as "partial 16S ribosomal RNA". It matches the Rfam family "Bacterial small subunit ribosomal RNA", at positions 28 to 507 of the family's 1533-position model. The record is from RNAcentral.